The sequence is a ribosomal RNA, 941 nucleotides long. It matches the Rfam family "Bacterial small subunit ribosomal RNA", at positions 628 to 1533 of the family's 1533-position model. The record is from Rfam.
UAAAACUGAAAAACUUGAGUAUAAAUAGAGGAUAAUGGAAUUUCUAUUGGAGGGAUAAAAUACGUUGAUAAUAGAAGGAAGAUCAAAAGCGAAGGCAAUUAUCUGGGUAUAUACUGACACUGACGAAACGAAAGCUUGGGUAGCGAACGGGAUUACAGACCCCGGUAGUCCAUGCUGUAAACGAUGAGUGCUCAUAUUUAGAAUUUUUAGAUAUCAAGCUAACGCGUUAAGCACUCCGCCUGAAAAGUAUAAUCGCAAGAUUGAAAUUCAAAGGAAUUGACGGGAGUCUACACAAGCGGUGGAGCAUGUGGUUUAAUUCGAUAAUACGCGCAGAACCUUACCAACUCUUGCAAAUUAGAUUAAAAAAUUAAAUUUAAUCUAAACAGGCGUUGCAUGGCUGUCGUCAGCUCGUGUUGUGAAAUGUUUGGUUAAAUCCUUUAACGAGCGCAACCCCUAUUAUUAGUUGCUAAUUUAUUUAAAUAAAUAAAAGCACUCUAAUAAAAAUGUCAAUGAUAGGUUGAAGGAAGGUAGGGAUGACGUCAAGUCUUCAUGGCCCUUAUGAGUUGGGCUACACACGUGCUACAAUGAUAAUUACAAUGAGAGGCAAUAAUGAUUAAAAAUUGGAGCAAAUCUUUAAAGAUUAUCUUAGUUCGGAUUAUGGGCUGAAACUCGCCCAUAUGAAGCUGGAAUCGCUAGUAAUCGCAGAACAGCAUGCUGCGGUGAAUAUGUUACUAGACUUUGUACACACCGCCCGUCACAUCAAGGAAGUUAAAUAUUUUUAAAAUGAUUUUUAGUUAUUUUAUUUUAAUAAAUAAUUAUUUAAUUUUAAUAAUUUAUAUUUAAGAUUUUAUAAUAUAUAAGUUCCUAAAAAGUAUUUAGUAACUUUGAUGAAGUCGUAACAAGGUAGUCGUAGAGGAACCUGUGGCUGGAAGAGCUCUUUA